This is a long non-coding RNA of Ziziphus jujuba (common jujube), 1208 nucleotides long. RefSeq lists it as uncharacterized. The transcript is spliced from 3 exons. The record is from RefSeq and is a predicted model, not a curated record. Lineage: Eukaryota; Viridiplantae; Streptophyta; Magnoliopsida; Rosales; Rhamnaceae.
CACCGGAGUUUUCCACUGUUCCGGCCGAGUUACUGUACACGUGCCGGACAGAAAGCUUGCCCACCUCAUUUCCGGCAAAACCUCCAAAUUUCACGGCGAACGGCCGCCGGACGCGCCCGGAUCGGACGUCCGAAGUUUGGCGGCGAUUUUUCCCCUCCACCGCCGGCCACCGCGAAUCGGCACUGUUCCGGCCAUUUUCCGGCCACACGCGCCUGACAGCCUUGAUCCUCUCCUCAAGUCCGGCCUACCCACCAAAAAUCACGGCCAUCGGACCACCGACGCGCCGGGAUCGGAGCGUUUUCCGGCGAGGGGUCGAAAAUCUUCAAACGGUGAUUUCUCCGCCGUCCGACCUCCGUUUUGCUCACCGUCUGUCCCGUUGGAUUGCUCUCCUCACGAUCUACAUAUCUGCAAAAUUUCACAGCAAACGGCCACCGUCGGAAAAUACUGUUCCGGUGACGGUUGCCGGUGACGUGGCGGCCCGCCGGAAAAUACUGUUCCGGCGAGUACCCGAAAAUUUCCGGCCAACUCCAAUCUGCAGUGUUCGACCUCCUGAACCCAAAUCCGACUUCCGUUUCCGCCAAUUCGCGACGGUUUGGGAGAAUUGCGGAGCCGAAACUCGAAAAGCUUUCCGGCGAGAUUCCGACCCCGUCGGGUUCGAUCACCGGAAAGUAAGACCGAAUCCGUGAUCCUCAUCACGCGAGCUUCGAUUCGGUGCACGCGCGAGUAGUGGAGUGGAUCCCGAGGAGGAUCUUAGUUGAUUUGCGCUCUCCAGGUGCAAGUGGUGGUAGACGUUCUUCCGGAGCGAACCAAGUUUUCCGCUGCUGUUGUGUUUCGAGAAGUUUCUUUGUACUCUUUCAUCUCAGUGUAUUAUUUCUUUUCAGCCUUGUUGUAUUUCUGUUGUUUAGCACUUCUUAAAGCUCUGUAUACUAUUGGAAUACUUCUGUUUUAUUUAUGCACUGGACUGUUGUUGCUUUGAGAAGUGCUGGAAUUUGUGGAAUCAGUUUGUAGUUUGUGGGAGGAACAAGGGGAUGUUUUUAGAAGUGCGUUUUCAGUGCAGGUAAUUUGUGGUAAGUAAAUCCCUUAGGGGAGGCUCUGUUGGAUUUUCCUUUGGAGGGUCCGGUAGGGUUUCCCUGGGAUCAGGGCUGUCUAGGGUUCCGGGGAAGGAAUUCUGGACGGGUCCUGACAUAAAGAAUCACAAAAAAGAGGUU